RNAcentral lists this ribosomal RNA (202 nucleotides) under Alcaligenes faecalis. Its description in RNAcentral is "partial 16S ribosomal RNA". It matches the Rfam family "Bacterial small subunit ribosomal RNA", at positions 251 to 452 of the family's 1533-position model. The record is from RNAcentral. Lineage: Bacteria; Pseudomonadati; Pseudomonadota; Betaproteobacteria; Burkholderiales; Alcaligenaceae.
GGUGGGGUAAAGGCUCACCAAGGCAACGAUCCGUAGCUGGUUUGAGAGGACGACCAGCCACACUGGGACUGAGACACGGCCCAGACUCCUACGGGAGGCAGCAGUGGGGAAUUUUGGACAAUGGGGGAAACCCUGAUCCAGCCAUCCCGCGUGUAUGAUGAAGGCCUUCGGGUUGUAAAGUACUUUUGGCAGAGAAGAAAAG